CGAAACAGUUUAUAGUCGUCCAACUUCAGCCGUAUGCCUCGAACCAAAUAUGACCUGUAAAGAAUGAAUACGGACAGCAGAUGCAUGCUGGUGUUUCAGCACGCCAGAACUAGUUAGUGGGGAUACUGAGGCACACUAGUACCUACCGGCAAGAAAGGAACAGUCCUGCAUCUACUCAAGAAUAAUCAUGACAAAAGGCAUACAUCAAGCAAGUCAUUACUAGUCAUGAACGAAAGUGUGGGGAUCGAGGACGAUCAGAUACCGUCGUAGUCUCAACCAUAAACUAUGCCGACUAGGGAUCGGGCGAUGUUUCUUUCUUGACUCGCUCGGCGCCCUUCCGAGCACUAAAAGUUUUUUGGCUCGGAGGGGAGUGUGGUCGCAAGGAUGAAAACUAAUGAAAUUGACUGAAGGGCUCCACCAGGAGUGGAGCCUGCGGCUGAAUUUGACUCAACACGGGGAAACUCACCAGGUCCAGACAAGGUAAGGGAUGACAGAUUGAUAGCUCUUUCUUGAUUUUUUGGGUGGUGGUGCAUGGCCGUUUUUAGUUUGUGGAGUUAUUAGUCUGGUUAAUUGCGAUAACGAACGAGACCUUAACCUGGUUAAUGAAACCGACAGCUUUGGCCGGUAGUCCGCUUUUUAGAGGGACUAUUGGCACAAAGCCAAUGUAAGUGUGGGGCAAAAACAGUUCUGUAAUUCUUUAAAUGUUCGGUUUCCGGCCCGUUACACGACCGAGCCCACAGAGAGACAGAAGGACAGGACCGUCCGGGUAAUCUUGCGAAACUCUGUCGUCCUGGGGAUAGAGCCCACAAUUCUUGCUCUUCAACGAGAAAUUCAUCGUCGAGCUAGUCAAAAUCGGGGCUAGAUUACGUCCGGCCCUUGCACACGCCGCCAGUCAAGGGCGAAGCAGGGCCUAAAAAAAUUUUUAACCUUAUC
Molecule: ribosomal RNA, 933 nt
Filed under: uncultured fungus
Lineage: Eukaryota; Fungi
Description: bacterial SSU rRNA
Rfam family: Eukaryotic small subunit ribosomal RNA
Source: RNAcentral